This is a non-coding RNA of Gossypium arboreum, 106 nucleotides long. Lineage: Eukaryota; Viridiplantae; Streptophyta; Magnoliopsida; Malvales; Malvaceae. The record is from Rfam.
AGUACAUGGUGUGGGCACUUCCUUAACAUUAUCUUGAAACUCUUCUACACCUCAUAUAAGGACUCUCCUUCAUAUUGUUUAAAAUUUGUGAUUUUUUAUUAGAGCU